UACGAAGGGUGCAAGCGUUACUCGGAAUUACUGGGCGUAAAGCGUGCGUAGGUGGUUCGUUAAGUCUGUCGUGAAAGCCCCGGGCUCAACCUGGGAAUGGCAGUGGAUACUGGCAAGCUAGAGUGCGGUAGAGGGUAGUGGAAUUCCCGGUGUAGCAGUGAAAUGCGUAGAGAUCGGGAGGAACACCAGUGGCGAAGGCGGCUACCUGGACCAGCACUGACACUGAAGCACGAAAGCGUGGGGAGCAAACAGG
RNAcentral lists this ribosomal RNA (253 nucleotides) under uncultured bacterium. RNAcentral's name for it is "partial 16S ribosomal RNA". It matches the Rfam family "Bacterial small subunit ribosomal RNA", at positions 524 to 776 of the family's 1533-position model. The record is from RNAcentral.